ACCAGACUCCUACGGGAGGCAGCAGUGGGGGAUACUGCACAAUGGGGGGAACCCUGAUGCAGCGACGCCGCGUGGGUGAAGGAGCAUCUCGGUGCGUAAAGCCCUAUCGGCAGGGAAGAAAAGCGAACAGGUUCGCCUGGACGGUACCUGACUAAGAAGCCCCGGCUAACUACGUGCCAGCAGCCGCGGUAAUACGUAGGGGGCAAGCGUUAUCCGGAUUCACUGGGUGUAAAGGGAGCGUAGACGGCGACGCAAGUCUGGAGUGAAAGCCCGGGGCCCAACCCCGGGACUGCUCUGGAAACUGCGUCGCUGGAGUACGGGAGAGGCAGGCGGAAUUCCUAGUGUAGCGGUGAAAUGCGUAGAUAUUAGGAGGAACACCAGUGGCGAAGGCGGCCUGCUGGACGACAACUGACGGUGAGGCGCGAAAGCGUGGGGAGCAAACAGGAUUAGAUACCCGAGUA
This 461-nucleotide ribosomal RNA is filed under the name uncultured bacterium. Its description in RNAcentral is "bacterial SSU rRNA". It matches the Rfam family "Bacterial small subunit ribosomal RNA", at positions 330 to 792 of the family's 1533-position model. The record is from RNAcentral.